Myotis daubentonii (Daubenton's bat) is the source of this 1690-nucleotide long non-coding RNA. RefSeq lists it as uncharacterized. The record is from RefSeq and is a predicted model, not a curated record. Lineage: Eukaryota; Metazoa; Chordata; Mammalia; Chiroptera; Vespertilionidae.
GAGAUCUGGGGCUCUAAUUGCUUCAUGGUUUCUGUUCUACCUUCAGUCCACUUCCUGAGCUGCCUAGUACGUCCAGCUCUCAAGACUUGUGUGUAAUCAAAUGCUUCUCAGCUUCUCUGCCCUCUUGGGACCCAUCACUCUGGGAUCUGGCACAUCAGUUACCUUUCAUUAAUCUUCUCAACUUUCAAAUGUUGAGGCUGUCAUGCCUUUCCUCAUUCUUUGUCCUUAUUAUUUGAUGUCCUGGGGGCAAAAAUUCUUUACCAUGUUUUCAUGGGGUUUCAGAAAAGUAUAAAAACAAAUGAGUAUUCUUCAGUCACUCAGUCACCUUUACUCCACAGUUAGCUUAUUUCAUAUGUGUGUUGUUUCAGUUUGUUCAGGCUGCUAUAACAAAAAUAUCAUAGACUGAAUGGCUUAACAGCCAACAUUUAUUUCUCACAGUUCUGGAGGCCAGGAAAUUCAAUAACAAGGUGCUGGCAGGUUUGGGGACACUAAUCCUGUUCAUGAGGGCUCAUGAUCUAAUCACCUUCCAAAGGCUGUACCUCCUAAUACCAUCAUGUUUAGGGUUAGGAUUUAAAAAUAUGAAUUUUGGGGAGACACAAACAUUCAGUCCAUACCAUGGGUUUACAUUUAUAAUCUUUCCAAUCUAAUCACUUACUACACUGCCUUUUUAAAAAAAAAAUUAUUACUCAUUUUACAGAGAGGAAGGGAGAGGGAUCGAUCAGCUGCCUUCUGCAUGCCCCCUACUGGGGAUCCAGCUCGCAACCAAGGUACAUACCCUUGACCAGAAUCAAACCCGAGACCCUUCAGUCCUCAGGCCGACGCUCUAUCUACUGAGCCAAACUGGUUAGGGUUACUAUACUACUUUUUAAGUUGAUCUUUAAAAGAAUUAUUAACAGUGACUGUUAUAAUUUAGAAUUCAUACCUCUAGCAAUAAUUUCAAAUCUAUAUAAAAUAUUUUUGCCUGUUUUUUUUAGCUGACUUUAACAAGUAUUUGAACUCGCACUUAUUGAGGCUGAAUCUGGAUAAUUGAAUAGGCCUUUCAUAACAGGAGAGAUGAAGUACAGGUUCAAAUAUAAGGGUAAAAGCCUUUGGAGAACGAAAGCCACAUCUCUUGUGGAGGGAAACCAAGCUUUUCCUGGGAUGAGUGAUCAAAAAAUGGAAGGACUCCAAGUCCUGGCUUCUUUUGCUUUGCUGGCCAGAAACCAAAUAUUUCUAAAGAGGCAGGCUUGGCAUUAUCUACUUUCAUAGAACCACCUGGAUACAGUCAAGGUGGGGAUGAGAGGAAUGGAGGUUAAGACACAGAGGGAUGACCAUGUGCAGACAUCAGAGGAAGACAGCCAUCUACAAUCCAAGGAGAGAGGCCUUUAGAAGACACCACCCCUGACACCACCUCAAUCUUAAACUCCUAGUCUGGAGAACUGUGAGGAAAUAAAUUCCUGUUGUUUAAGCCCUCUAGUCAGUGGUACUUUGUUAUGGCAGCUCUAGCAAACAAAUGUACCUUACAGUGGCCUGAGCAUCAAAAGUUUACUCAAACCCCUGUCACCAUUUCCUCCUGGCAUCUCCACUCGGCAUUCUGUGGCUGUGGCUGUUUCACUGGAGUUAAGCAGCACUAUGGAAUGUGAACCCACAUGUGUCCACCUUGGAAAGGCUCUGGGGAGGCUAAGUCUAGGAAAAUGAAUCAAAGUACGUG